GACGUAGGGUGCGAGCGUUGUCCGGAUUUAUUGGGCGUAAAGAGCUCGUAGGCGGCUCGUCGCGUCAGCUGUGAAAACCCGCAGCUUAACUGUGGGCUUGCAGCUGAUACGGGCGGGCUAGAGUUCGGUAGGGGAGACUGGAAUUCCUGGUGUAGCGGUGAAAUGCGCAGAUAUCAGGAGGAACACCGGUGACGAAGGCGGGUCUCUGGGCCGAUACUGACGCUGAGGAGCGAAAGCGUGGGGAGCGAACAGG
Molecule: ribosomal RNA, 253 nt
Filed under: uncultured bacterium
Lineage: Bacteria
Description: partial 16S ribosomal RNA
Rfam family: Bacterial small subunit ribosomal RNA
Source: RNAcentral